GGUAUCUCCAGUGACCAGCAUAGUGCUUGAUUUGGUGCUAGUGUUAGAUCUGAAGUGAACUUCUGACAGCAUUCAGGGACAACAAGAAACACAGGCAUGGCACCUGCGAACACUUUUGAGUUCACCGUCUUUCUCGCCAUUUCCAAGGGCCAUUGGGCAAGUCAGCUUGAGCUGAUAAAGGAUUCUAAGCAUGGAAUUAGAAAAAGAUCAGGGUGAGCUGGGAUUCAUUAUGUGCAAAAACUGUGAGUGUCAGAAGGUAGGACUCAUCCUGCUACUUUGUUCUAGACUGGUUUAGUUGCUCACUUGAAUUGAUGUUGAUUUAUUUCAUGCGUUAUAUUUGGACCUAUGUUUUUAAUGCUGUCACUUUCUAUUAAAA
Molecule: long non-coding RNA, 376 nt
Filed under: Equus caballus (horse)
Lineage: Eukaryota; Metazoa; Chordata; Mammalia; Perissodactyla; Equidae
Description: lncRNA (ENSECAG00000045234.1)
Source: RNAcentral